UACGUAGGGGGCAAGCGUUGUCCGGAAUCAUUGGGCGUAAAGAGCGUGUAGGCGGUUCGGUAAGUCGGCUGUGAAAGUCCAGGGCUCAACCCUGGGAUGCCGGUGGAUACUGUCGGGCUCGAGUCCGGAAGAGGCGAGUGGAAUUCCUGGUGUAGCGGUGAAAUGCGCAGAUAUCAGGAGGAACACCAAUGGCGAAGGCAGCUCGCUGGGACGUGACUGACGCUGAGACGCGAAAGCGUGGGGAGCAAACAGG
This 253-nucleotide ribosomal RNA is filed under the name uncultured bacterium. Its description in RNAcentral is "partial 16S ribosomal RNA". It matches the Rfam family "Bacterial small subunit ribosomal RNA", at positions 524 to 776 of the family's 1533-position model. The record is from RNAcentral.